AAUAAAGUUCUUAAUAAUAAGUUACAAAAAUGGUUUUUAAGACUUUUAUAAUUUUUAUAGAAAAAGAAAACCACUUAUAAUAAUGCGAACAAAUUAGCUUUAUAUUUCGCGAGUUGAUUACGCUUGUUGUAAUCAGCCAUUUUCUUUUUAUUUAAAUAUUAUAUACAGCUAUAUAAAUGCACAGGUAAAAUGUAGUUUUACAAAUUCGCACACGAACACAAACUUAAGUCGAAAAAGAUACACAACGAAAGUGCUAACCAGUUAAUCGGUCAAUAAUACUAUACAAAUCUCAAUAUUCUUGAAAAUGUUUUCCAAAAUAUAUUCUUUUGUAUUAAUUAUUAUGUGUGGUUUUUUUUUUUGGAUAUGUUUUUGGAAAUACUUUUUUAAUUGACACGAAUGGAAUAAAUAUUGAAUAUCCAACUGAUAACAAUGAAUUUCAUACCAAUGCGAAGUGGAUUACGGAGACACAUUGUUUUAGCUCUCCAAAAGAAUAUUUAUAUUGUGGUCCUUUAAAAUUGUUACAUUACAGAUUAUCUCAACAUCAGGACUUGGUUUUGUGAGAUUACCGCGAUUCUGAAUUUCUGUCAAACUAUUCUUAUGAGUAGAUGAAAUUAAGCUAAGUUUACAUUCAUCACAAUGAAUUUUUGUAGCCACCUUUUUGGCUACAAACCCACUAUGUAUUUUGAUACUCCAUUAACAAAUUUGCUCAAAUGUAUACAAUUCUCAAAGUAGUCAUGAUCAACCAAUUUUUUUUUUAAUUCCAAAUACAUAUGUAUGUUUUUAUGUAUAUUUAAAUAUUUAUAUUAAUACAAGUUAAGAUACUUUUUUAAAAUUGUUGGAACAGCAUCUUUUUUAAGAGUUUUAUAUUUAUUUCCACAGUUAAAGUUACUAGGAUCAAAAUGGCCAGAACAAAUUCUUUGCCAUUCAGAUACGCGAUCAAUUUUAAAAUUUUUUUUCCAUUUCAAUAAUUUGGUUAAAUCUUUGGGAAAUCUAUAAUUAUAAAUACAUUAUAAAAUUAAUAAGACAAUUCUACAUUUUAUUAAAUAUUGUGAUAUCAAUCUCUCAAUAACUUACUUAUGAAAUGAUAGAUGGGGAUUCAUAUUGGCACUCUUACGACAUAUAUAACAACGCAGCUACAUAAUUAAUUUUUGUAAUUUUUGUGAAAUGUAUAAAAAAUUAAAUGUUUACCUACAGUAUAUACUACAUAUCCAGACGUUAUAACUUAUUACAAAUUAUAAUUUAUAAAACCCAGUACAGUGGGGUCGCGGUACACUGGAGACGUACCAUAUUUUUGAUAUUAAAGUAUAUUACAUAAGCUUUAAUUUAAUAUAUAUAUAUAAGUGUCUGUGCAAUGCCGGCUAUAUUUUUUCUUUAGUAUCGGCAAUUUGCGAAUUUUUCUUGUAACAUUUUUGUUCGUUUAAUAACUACGAUUAACUAUACGUAUUUGGCCAUGCCUUAGCGGAAGGAAAAGGAGAAUAUAAAAUGUGGAAAUUGAGCCUUACAAUAUAUUAAAUAGAAA
Molecule: long non-coding RNA, 1519 nt
Organism: Daktulosphaira vitifoliae (grape phylloxera)
Lineage: Eukaryota; Metazoa; Arthropoda; Insecta; Hemiptera; Phylloxeridae
Exons: 5
Source: RefSeq, a predicted model, not a curated record